CUUUUUAGUUCUGGUAGUACCAGAUCAACUGUUGCGCGUUGCGACAGUGUCUGUUUUAUUUUUGUAUAUUUUUUAUUUUAUUUUAGAGAAGUAUUAUCAUAUUUUUGUUACUUAAUUUAUGAUGAUCUGUUAGUAUACCUCAACAUUAUUAUAUUGUGUUCGGUUUACGGUUAAGUGAAAUUCAUAAAAGAUGAAGAGCGCCAAAUUGAUGAUGUGUGGCGGUCGCCACCUCGCUUCCAGGGCGAUUCCAGCUGCACCCUUGGCCAGUACCACGGGAGGGGGUGCGCGGGGCGGCGACGGAGGCCCGCGCGGUCGAGAAACAGCCACAGCAACAACGCGGCGCGCGCACCAGCGCCUCCUUCACGCUCAACCUCUUCCGAGGACACUUCGAGCCGGCGCAAGUGUUCCCCUUCCCGGAAGCGCUGUCUGAUGACCAACGCCAAAUGCUCCAAGAACUGGUGCCACCAGUAGAAAAGUUUUUCCAGGAGGUCAACGACCCUGCGAAAAACGAUCAUGA
Molecule: long non-coding RNA, 517 nt
Organism: Manduca sexta (tobacco hornworm)
Lineage: Eukaryota; Metazoa; Arthropoda; Insecta; Lepidoptera; Sphingidae
Exons: 3
Source: RefSeq, a predicted model, not a curated record